Molecule: long non-coding RNA, 1060 nt
Organism: Halichondria panicea
Lineage: Eukaryota; Metazoa; Porifera; Demospongiae; Suberitida; Halichondriidae
Exons: 4
Source: RefSeq, a predicted model, not a curated record
CACAGUUGACUUGUUGGAUGUACUGGUUCCCCCGAGGACCAUUCGUAUCACCACUCCUCAUCGGAGGUUCCACCUGGAAUUUAAGACAGAAAUAAAACGAGUCCAAAGAAUAGUGGAGGGUGUGUUCUAUCGUAUUGGACAGAAUCUGGAGCGGUACAGGCUGCAUGGAACCAGUCGCUCACACCAUUGACGACCAUAAUGCCAACUCUAUAUAAGGAAUCAAAUCAUGAUCAUGCAUCCAUGUAUUCUAAUUAUAUGCGUUUAAUUACAGUGAGCUCAGUGUUUAACUGAUUUUGUAGUUAUUUCAAUACCUAUCCAAUACAAUGUAAUAAAACCACACCUUUUAUAAAAUUGUAACCACACCCACAAAUCACUUGUUCAUUUACACGUGCGUAAAUAACAAUAAUAAUUAUAGGAAAUCCAGCUAAAAUGUAUAGAACGCAAAACUAAAAUAAAAUAUUCAGAGAUGUCUUAGAAAGUGGCAGCAAUUAAUGCUAUCAAUAGUUUAGUUGGUGAGGUGUCCUUCAAUUUCUAACCUCCUUACGAUCAUGUCCACAUCAUAACUAUCUCCCUGCAGUGGACGAGCAUAAUUAUUUACUGCUAUACUGCAUGCACAAUGGCUACACAGGUAAUGUACAUGUACACACAACACACCAUUGAACAUACAGUACAGUAUAAAUACUUGCCUUUUUAGAUGCUUCUAUAAUCGAGAUGAGCUUCUUCAUACCAAUGUGACACCUAUAGAGAGAGGCACACAAUGUCGGCUAACACAGUUGACUUGUUGGAUGUAUUGGUUCCCCCGAGGACCAUUCGUAUCACCACUCCUCGUCGGAGGUUCCACCUGGAAUUUAAGACAGAAAUAAAACGAGUCCAAAGAAUAGUGGAGGGUGUGUUCUAUCGUAUUGGACAGAAUCUGGAGCGGUACAGGCUGCAUGGAACCAGUCGCUCACACCAUUGACGACCAUAAUGCCAACUCUAUAUAAGGAAUCAAAUCAUGAUCAUGCAUCCAUGUAUUCUAAUUAUAUGCGUUUAAUUACAGUGAGCUCAGUGUUUAACUGAU